This is an RNA transcript of Vigna angularis (adzuki bean), 1310 nucleotides long. It is a transcript of the gene named trihelix transcription factor GT-3b, with no coding region annotated. NCBI's taxonomy places the organism in Eukaryota, Viridiplantae, Streptophyta, Magnoliopsida, Fabales, Fabaceae. The record is from RefSeq and is a predicted model, not a curated record. The transcript has 3 exons.
UUUUUCCUCUUAACGCGAUUUACAACACAACUGUCUCGUCUCGUGUUCCCACCACCCCAUAUAUAACCCUUUCUUUUCUCUUCUUUUCUCUCUCUAUCUCUCUCUCUCUUCCCGAAGAAAAAUCCAUCUUUUUUCUGUGUGAUCAGAGGGGUAACAACGAUUGCUUCUUCAAUUCUUUCUAGUAUAUAACUGGGAUUCGAUCAAGUCACGAACUUUUCUUCGAUUUGAAUGGAGGGUCAUCAUCUCCAUCGCCACCAUGGGCAACAACAACAGCAACAAAGGCUUCAGCCUCAGAAUACGAGUGCCAACGUUGAUGCGACUGAUAGGUUUCCCCAAUGGAGUAUCCAAGAGACUAAGGAGUUUCUCGUGAUUCGUGCAGAGCUGGAUCAGACUUUCAUGGAGACUAAGAGGAACAAGCAGUUGUGGGAAGUGAUCUCAACGAGAAUGAAGGAAAAGGGUUACCAUAGAAGUGCAGAGCAGUGCAAGUGCAAGUGGAAAAACCUCGUUACUCGCUACAAGGGGUUUGAAACAAUGGAGCAAGAAGCGACGAAGCAGCAAUUCCCAUUUUACAAUGAAUUCAGUGCGAUUUUCACGGCAAGGAUGCAGAGAAUGCUGUGGGCUGAAGCUGAGGGUGGGUCGAAGAAGAACAAGGGGACGCAGCUCUCAUCGGACGAGGAAGAAGAUGGCAAUGAAGAGAGUGCAGAAGCUGGUGGGGGAAGAAAGAAGAAAAAAGCAAAGAUAGCUAGUGGGGGUGGUGGUGGUAGCAGUUUGAAGGAGAUUUUGGAGGAGUUCAUGAGGCAGCAGAUGCAGAUAGAAGCACAAUGGAUGGAAGCAUUUGAAGCAAGGGAAAAUGAGAGGAGGUUGAAGGAGAUGGAGUGGAGGCAAGCCAUGGAAGUGUUGGAGAAUGAGAGGAUAAUGAUGGAAGAAAGAUGGAGAGAAAGAGAGGAACAAAGGAGGAUCAGAGAAGAAGCUAGGGCUGAGAAAAGGGAUGCUCUAAUCACAGCUUUGCUAAACAAACUAGAGAGGCAAGAAAUGUGAUGAAGAUGAAGAUUUCAAGACUUUAUUCAGUUCCAUGAUCUCCACACAUUUGAAGAGGAUAUUUUGACAGCUAGCUGAUAUGGUUUUGCAUGCACACGAGAGUUCUUCAAGGGUUAGUGACUAUGACAUGUGUACGUGAGAAAGCUAGCUAGGUGUAAUUGAAGCUGGAGAAAAGUUAUAUCAACCUUAGGUAUGAACUCAUGACUUUUCUUAGAUAAAUUUGUGCUGCAUAUGUUACCAUGUUUACUAAUAAUCAAUGUUAUGAACACGCA